This 468-nucleotide ribosomal RNA is filed under the name uncultured bacterium. RNAcentral describes it as "bacterial SSU rRNA". It matches the Rfam family "Bacterial small subunit ribosomal RNA", at positions 329 to 794 of the family's 1533-position model. The record is from RNAcentral.
CUCCAGACUCCUACGGGAGGCAGCAGUGAGGAAUAUUGGUCAAUGGGCGAGAGCCUGAACCAGCCAAGUCGCGUGAGGGAGUACUGCCCUAUGGGUUGUAAACCUCUUUUGUCGGGGAGCAAAGAGGCCUCGUGAGGUCAAAAGCGAGAGUACCCGAAGAAAAAGCAUCGGCUAACUCCGUGCCAGCAGCCGCGGUAAUACGGAGGAUGCGAGCGUUAUCCGGAUUUAUUGGGUUUAAAGGGUGCGUAGGCGGGCCGGUAAGUCGGCGGUAAAAAGGCGGAGCUCAACCCCGUCGAGCCGUUGAAACUGCCGUUCUUGAGUGAGCGAGAAGUAUGCGGAAUGCGUGGUGUAGCGGUGAAAUGCAUAGAUAUCACGCAGAACUCCGAUUGCGAAGGCAGCAUACCGGCGCUCAACUGACGCUGAAGCACGAAGGCGUGGGUAUCGAACAGGAUUAGAUACCCGCGUAAU